Non-coding RNA from Gelatoporia subvermispora B, 89 nucleotides. Lineage: Eukaryota; Fungi; Basidiomycota; Agaricomycetes; Polyporales; Gelatoporiaceae. The record is from the annotation of a GenBank genome assembly.
UCCCGUUUAGCUCAGCUGGUAGAGCGCGUCACUAGUACGUAUAUAUACGUGUAAUGACGAGGUCAGUCGUUCAAGUCGGCUAAUGGGAA